CCUACGGGAGGCAGCAGUGAGGAAUAUUGGUCAAUGGGCGCGAGCCUGAACCAGCCAAGUAGCGUGAAGGAUGACUGCCCUACGGGUUGUAAACUUCUUUUGUCAGGGAAGAGUAGAAGACGGUACCUGACGAAUAAGCCACGGCUAACUACGUGCCAGCAGCCGCGGUAAUACGUAGGUGGCAAGCGUUAUCCGGAUUUAUUGGGUUUAAAGGGUGCGUAGGCUGUGAGGUAAGUCAGCGGUGAAAUGCCCCCGCUCAACGGGGUGAAGUGCCAUUGAUACUGCCUUGCUGGAAUGCGGAUGCCGUGGGAGGAAUGUGUGGUGUAGCGGUGAAAUGCAUAGAUAUCACACAGAACACCGAUUGCGAAGGCAUCUCACGAAUCCGCGAUUGACGCUGAUGCACGAAAGCGUGGGUAUCAAACAGGAUUAGAUACCCCGGUAGUC
RNAcentral lists this ribosomal RNA (444 nucleotides) under uncultured bacterium. RNAcentral describes it as "partial 16S ribosomal RNA". It matches the Rfam family "Bacterial small subunit ribosomal RNA", at positions 338 to 795 of the family's 1533-position model. The record is from RNAcentral.